UUCUGUGAGUCGAGUGCUACAAACAGGGGACUUUUCAAGCCCAAUUCCAAACACAGGAAUUCUUCCCUAGUCAGUCUGUCUCCCGGGCCCCACUGAGACAGCUGGCCUUCCCACGCAAGCUGAUGCACUCAGCUGUGACUGCCUGUUCCUGGGUCAGCCCGCUCCAGCUCACCCUUGACGGAGAACACCGGCUCCUUGACAGCUUGAGCUGCUUUCUGUUCCAAGUUGCAGAGAGCAAAUCGCGGGGCCUUUUCAAAAUGCAGGAGUUGCAAGGCUUUAUAAGCUUCGGAAAUCCUCUCCAUUAGAGAUGACGCUGACAGGAGGGGCUGUGCAACCAGGGAGAUGAGAAGAGUCAGACAUGUUUGUCACAGGGGAUGAAGAAGGAGGGAGCUGGUUGUUCCUUUGGAAGUCUGCAAGUGUCUUGGAAGGGCUAGGCCUUAAGCAAGAUUGGGAAAUAUAUGCAGCACACAAGGAGGAGGAGGCAUCCAGUCCACUGCAGACAAAAUCAGUCUCAGGUUAUGGGCCCAUUGGGGGCCUUCUCAUUCAAACCGCCACACUCACCGAACGUGUACCCAGGGAUUUCCCACAACAAGAAGGUAGAAGGAAGAAGGCCUGAACCAGAUCCUUCCUCAGGGUGCCUGGAAGGAGUCCCUGCUACCAGCACCGUGUCUACAGAACUGUGGGGGGAGCCAGUUCUGUUACUGAAGCCAAGUUCACCAAGUUGGUGGGAACCAGCCCAAGACUGUCCUCCGUAUACCUGAAUUUGGAUGCUCUUUCCUUGGAGUUCUAAGAGAGACUGUGGCCUGACCCUGCCACGCCACAAAGCCGUCUGAGGACCGGCGUCACUAUUCGGUUCUGCCCGGCGGCACUAGUGACUUCACACCCUAGAAAAGCGCAGAGAAUUGGCGUGACCCAUUUGGUAUCACUCUGAAAAAAGAUAAGAACAAGGGAAUUUCUCAUUCAUUCAUUCACUCGUCACCGGGUUAUGGAGCCUACCCUAAGCCAGACUCUCAGAACACAAAUGUACCCAAGGCUAGAGCCGGCCCUGUCCCAAUCACAGGGGGCUUGGGCCAUGAGGGCCACUAAAGAGGCUGGGUCGAUGUGUCUGGGAUUCCUCCAGCUCUGGGAUUCAGUGACUUGGAAGAAGAAAGAAGAGGUGGCGGGGGGGGGGGGGGGGGACAUUUU
This is a non-coding RNA of Peromyscus maniculatus bairdii (prairie deer mouse), 1185 nucleotides long. NCBI's taxonomy places the organism in Eukaryota, Metazoa, Chordata, Mammalia, Rodentia, Cricetidae. The record is from RefSeq and is a predicted model, not a curated record.